Molecule: ribosomal RNA, 253 nt
Filed under: uncultured bacterium
Lineage: Bacteria
Description: partial 16S ribosomal RNA
Rfam family: Bacterial small subunit ribosomal RNA
Source: RNAcentral
UACGGGGGGGGCAAGCGUUGUUCGGAAUUACUGGGCGUAAAGGGCUCGUAGGCGGCCAACUAAGUCCGACGUGAAAUCCCCAGGCUUAACCUGGGAACUGCGUCGGAUACUGGAUGGCUUGAAUUCGGGAGAGGGAUGCAGAAUUCCAGGUGUAGCGGUGAAAUGCGUAGAUAUCUGGAGGAAUACCGGUGGCGAAGGCGGCAUCCUGGACCGACAUUGACGCUGAGGCGCGAAAGCCAGGGGAGCAAACGGG